AUGGAUGAAGAAACUACUAGAGCUAUUCUUGCUUGCAAUGAUAGAUCUGAUCUUAAGAAGUUACUAGCUAAAUGGAAACAGAAACCUCUAAAUGCUAGAAUGAAAUAUGACCCUGGUUUUGCUACCUCACCUAUCUUUGUUACUGAUAAGGAUUAUGAAUUCUCUGUCGAUCCUGAGAUAAUUACUUUGGUAGAAUCUGAUCCUUUUUAUGGCUAUGAAUCUGAAACUGUUGUGGCGCAUCUUACUAAGUUAAAUGAUAUAGCCACCCUGUUCACUAAUGAUGAGAAAUCUCGCUACUACUAUAUCCUUAAGAUAUUUCCGUUCUCGUUAAAGGGUGAUGCUAUAACUUGGUUUAAUUCUCUUGAUCCUGGUUGUGUGCGUAGUCCCCAGGAUAUGAUUUAUUACUUCUCUGCUAAAUAUUUCCCUGCUCAUAAGAAACAAGCUGCCUAG
Molecule: ribosomal RNA, 450 nt
Filed under: Triticum aestivum (bread wheat)
Lineage: Eukaryota; Viridiplantae; Streptophyta; Magnoliopsida; Poales; Poaceae
Description: partial small subunit ribosomal RNA
Source: RNAcentral